GAACGCACAUUGCGCCCUCUAGUAUUCUGGCGGGCAUGCCUGUUCGAGCGUCAUUUCAACCAUCAAGCCCUAGGCUUGCGUUGGAGCCCUGCGGCCGCCGCAGCCUCCCAAAACCAGUGGCGGGCUCGCUAUUACACCGAGUGCAGUAGUUUACUCUUCGCUCAGGUCGUGUGGCGGGUGCUAGCCGUAAAACCCCCCUACUUCUCAAGGUUGACCUCGGAUCAGGUAGGAAUACCCGCUGAACUUAAG
Molecule: unclassified non-coding RNA, 249 nt
Filed under: uncultured Podospora
Lineage: Eukaryota; Fungi; Ascomycota; Sordariomycetes; Sordariales; Lasiosphaeriaceae
Description: sequence contains 5.8S rRNA gene
Source: RNAcentral